GCCACGCCGCCACGAUGCCACGCCACACCGCCGCGCCACGACGCCACGCCGGCGCUCCAGCCGCCGGUCCCCGCUGCCACGCGCAGCCCACGCGGCCACAGGGAGAAGGAGGCCGCCGGGCACUGCACGUGUGGUCCGCCGGCGGAUCUGGGCGGCCGUCCUGGGGGCAGUGAGCCGCCGCUGGAUCUCGGGCCGGCUGGUCUCAGGCGCCGCCGCCGGAUCUCGCUGCGCUCACCGCCGGCCCGCCCCAUCCGCCGCCGGAUCUCGAGCCGGCCGGUCUCAGGCGCGUGCGGCCGGCUUCCCCAGUCCAGCCUUCCUGGCAUCGGCUCCCUGCACGGCAGCUUCCCCUGCGUGCGUCCUCCCGCCCGUCCCCGCGCAUGGAGGAGCAACGGUGGUGCUAGACCUGAUACUUGCGGCCGUGCGGUGCUCUGUGGUGGCAUGCCUGCUGCGUGCCCAACACUUGGUGCCUCGACUGAAUCAAUGCAAUGCAGAUGGGAUGGCAAGGGAAAUUGAAUCCCUCCUCAGUCGUCUCAGAUAUAAUCGAUAAUGAAGCAGAUAAACAACAAAUUCUCGGGGAUUGGAGGCAGCGGCAUGAGAGUGAAUUACCAGACCACUAUGAGAAGCGGCUGCAGAACCUGUCCAAGGAGGAGGCCGCCGUGCUCACCCGCAUGCGCCACCGGGCGCUCUUCUCCCGACGCGGUGUCCAGAACCUCAUCGUCCUCUCCAUCCUCGGUGAGAGGAAGUCGGGGAUGGAGGCGCCCACAUUGCUUCCGCUGCUGCUGCUCCUGGCGGUGAAGAUGGGCGCUUCUUCGAGUCCGUGGGCAACUUCUUCACCGGCGGCGACAACAUCCCCUGGUGCGACCGCGACAUCAUCGCCAUUUUACUGCUCAGCAACAACAGGAAGGCGGUGGUUCUCUGGAACUGGCAGGGCUACCAGGCAACCAUCACCGCCCAAUGGUCAAGCAUCGGGCUCGCUUCAUCCACUGUUGUCAUUGCUCGCGAUCUAUGGGCGGUAUGCUUGCUUUCGUAAAAUGGAGAUGCAAGGAAAACUAUAUAAGCAGUUGCCUUCUUAUGAACGAAGUAACAAGACAAGCAAGCUCCAAAAGUUUUUGAUGGAACAAGCAAACUGCCAAGAUAGGAAACUGAAGGCAGCAAAAGAAGCAUUUGAUGCGAGCAUCGAUUGUGGAAUAACUUUCUUUGUUACUGCUGAAGUAUACGGAGCUGGGAUAUCAGGAGCCAUAAAUUCAGAAAGUUUACUCGGAAGAUUCAUUAAGGAAAGGCAACGAAAGGAACAAGUUGAAGUGGCCAUUGCAACAAAGUUUGCAGCUCUUCCAUGGAGCAACAGAUGUAAUGAUGGUGAUCCAAGAUUGGUUGUGAGGAGAGGAGUUCAAACACGAUUCGAAUCUAAUUGACCGAAGACGUGGGUACCUCCGUGCAGCUCCUCCCGCCGGACAGGCAAGCAAGAGAGCAGCAGCCAUGAGGGCAGUUCUGAAGAUGAGCCGGACGACGACAAUGAUGAACCUGCAAAGAAGGAUGUUGCCAAACCUUGGGUGCUGUUGCCAAAAAUGGUUUGAAGGAAGACAAGCAAGAAGCAGAGAUGAGGGCAGUUCAGACGAUGAGUCAGAUGAUGUGAGUAUGCGACUGGAAAAACUGUAAGAUUAAUGAUUGCAUUUUCAUUAGGUUUUCUGAUGCAAUGCCAUGGUGGGAAACAUGACAUUUGACAAAAAAAAUGUCAUCUAUAGUGGUGGCACGGUAUUAAAAUAUUGUCUUCGAGGACCUUAUCUACUAUGCUCAUCACUUAUGCAGGAUGUUUAGAAUAAUAGUAGAACAUAGGAGGCCCUCGCGGAAUGAAAGAAGGUGCUCGAGAGCCGCAAGACCAUAUUUGAACACGCAGAAUAAGGUCGAGGAGUCCUGGCGGUGGGCACAAAAAGCAGACGACGAUAACCGGCAGGAGGCCGACGUCGGCAUCUGGUAGUAAGGCAGCGGACUAAGCCGGCCAGCUGGAGGCGCAAUAGCCGGAUGAGGUCACUAUAACCUCUCUGUAGCCUAUCGGAGGGCUUGCUAGCCUGAAUAUUGAAGCCAGCAUUUCCUGAAAGAACUCACAUAAUUAUUUUGAUUGGUUUGCUAUUCAUCAAAGACUGGUUUCAUUGUGCAAUGCAUUUGAGCCUGGAUUGUGUAAGGCGCUCUCCUUUCAUGCGUCUCAACUUCAGUUUAGUGCACUAUUUUCCUCUCAGAUAUAUAUGCCAAGGCCAAAACGUGCUCCAAGUGUACAUCCCUUUAUUUGUUUAUAAUACUUACCUCUGGCUGUUUCUAUGGAA
Molecule: RNA transcript, 2318 nt
Organism: Panicum virgatum (switchgrass)
Lineage: Eukaryota; Viridiplantae; Streptophyta; Magnoliopsida; Poales; Poaceae
Exons: 10
Source: RefSeq, a predicted model, not a curated record